Non-coding RNA from Quercus lobata, 1325 nucleotides. Lineage: Eukaryota; Viridiplantae; Streptophyta; Magnoliopsida; Fagales; Fagaceae. The record is from RefSeq and is a predicted model, not a curated record.
GCUCAGCUGGCACCAGCUUUGAGCUUUGGCUCCUCCAGUUAUUGCUCACGCGUUUCCCCACAUCUUCAUACCCUUCUCUUCUUUCUUAACUCUACAACUACAAGCAUUUCCUUUGCCCUAUAUAUACAUAUAUAUAGUAUAGCUCUCAUGCACUAAAACCUCUCAUUCACAAGCAACGAUUUCUCUCUAAAGUCUAAACAUGGCCUUUUCUUCUAAUGGGUUCUCUAUGUUUGUAUUGGUUUGUCUAGUGGUAAUUAGCUCUUUAUCAGUCGCCACUUGUGCUGGUAACUUCUACCAAGACUUUGACAUAAAAUGGGGUGGUAGCCGUGCCAAGAUAUUCAAAGCAGGACAGCUUUUGUCUCUGUCUCUAGACCCAGUUUCUGGUUCUGGCUUCCAGUCCAAGAAAGAAUACCUAUUUGGGAGGAUUGAUAUGCAGCUCAAACUUGUUGCUGGCAACUCUGCUGGCACUGUAACUGCCUACUAUUUGUCUUCUCAGGGGCCAACUCAUGAUGAAAUUGACUUCGAGUUCUUGGGAAACCUUAGUGGUGACCCUUAUAUACUACACACCAAUGUGUUCACUCAGGGCAAGGGUAACAGGGAGCAACAGUUCUAUCUCUGGUUCGAUCCCACAAGAAAUUUUCACACGUUAUUCCAUCAUCUGGAAGCCCCAACACAUAAUUUUCUUGGUUGAUAACACUCCCAUAAGAGUAUUCAAGAAUGCUGAAUCGAUUGGUGUUCCCUUCCCUAAGAGCCAACCUAUGAAGAUUUACUCUAGCCUCUGGAACGCUGACGAUUGGGCAACAAGAGGAGGAUUGGUGAAAACUGAUUGGUCUAAGGCACCCUUUACAGCUUACUACCGGAACUUCAACGUUAAGGCUUCCACUUCUUUCUCCGAUUCUACAUGGCAUACCAAUGAGCUUGAUGCCCCUGGCCGAAGAAGACUGAGAUGGGUUCAGAAAUACUUCAUGAUUUACAACUACUGCAGUGAUUUAAAACGCUUCCCUGGAGGUCUUCCACCUGAGUGCAAACGGUCAAGAUUUCUCUAAAUAGAUCACUCUUUCUGGUAGAAUUUUGAAUGGAGUCUGUAAUAUAUAUAUAUUAGUCCACGGGUGGAAACUCUUUAUAAAUUCCUCUUUGAUCAAGUUUCACUUAGCUUGAAAUUUAGGGGUCAAAUAAAAUAAAUUAUAUUCUUUUGCUGUGUUCUGUUUGUUACCGCUUAGCAGGGAGUUGAUGCCACCUUCUGUGUUCAUCCACCCUGUAAAGUUGUUGAAUCACGAUGUUUGAAUAUAUAUAUAUAUAUAUAUAUGUAUGUUCAUAUGAUAAAA